GGCAGCAGUAGGGAAUCUUCCGCAAUGGACGAAAGUCUGACGGAGCAACGCCGCGUGAGUGAGGAAGGCCUUCGGGUCGUAAAGCUCUGUUGUGAGGGAAGAAGCGGUACCGUUCGAAUAGGGCGGUGCCUUGACGGUACCUCACCAGAAAGCCACGGCUAACUACGUGCCAGCAGCCGCGGUAAUACGUAGGUGGCAAGCGUUGUCCGGAAUUAUUGGGCGUAAAGCGCGCGCAGGCGGCUUCUUAAGUCUGAU
RNAcentral lists this ribosomal RNA (255 nucleotides) under Shouchella clausii. RNAcentral describes it as "partial 16S ribosomal RNA". It matches the Rfam family "Bacterial small subunit ribosomal RNA", at positions 347 to 593 of the family's 1533-position model. The record is from RNAcentral. Lineage: Bacteria; Bacillati; Bacillota; Bacilli; Caryophanales; Bacillaceae.